GGAACAGUGAUUCCCAUUGAUCCUUGUCCCCUCCGUGGGUCACAGAGUCCAGAACUUAAGAGCCACCCAAGAUCUGAAGACAGCAUGUACACAGCCAUUCCCCAGAGUGGCUCUCCAUUCCCAGGCUCAGUGCAGGAUCCAGGCCUGCAUGUGUGGCGGGUGGAGAAGCUGAAGCCGGUGCCCGUGGUGCGAGAGAACCAGGGCAUCUUCUUCUCGGGGGACUCCUACCUAGUGCUGCACAAUGGCCCAGAAGAGGUUUCCCAUCUGCACCUGUGGAUAGGCCAGCAGUCAUCCCGGGAUGAGCAGGGGGCCUGUGCCGUCCUGGCUGUGCACCUCAACACGCUGCUGGGAGAGCGGCCUGUGCAGCACCGCGAGGUGCAGGGCAAUGAGUCUGACCUCUUCAUGAGCUACUUCCCACGAGGCCUCAAGUACCAGGAAGGUGGUGUGGAGUCAGCAUUUCACAAGACCUCCACAGGAGCCCCAGCUGCCAUCAAGAAACUCUACCAGGUGAAGGGGAAGAAGAACAUCCGUGCCACCGAGCGGGCACUGAACUGGGACAGCUUCAACACUGGGGACUGCUUCAUCCUGGACCU
RNAcentral lists this small RNA (593 nucleotides) under Pongo abelii (Sumatran orangutan). Its description in RNAcentral is "processed transcript". Lineage: Eukaryota; Metazoa; Chordata; Mammalia; Primates; Hominidae. The record is from RNAcentral.